This is a long non-coding RNA of Mus musculus (house mouse), 403 nucleotides long. RefSeq annotates it as predicted gene, 34591. The record is from RefSeq and is a predicted model, not a curated record. The transcript is spliced from 3 exons. Lineage: Eukaryota; Metazoa; Chordata; Mammalia; Rodentia; Muridae.
AUUUCCUUGUUUAAAAAAAUUAAAGGGGAAAAAGGAAAAGAAGCAUAUAUAUGUGUAAUAUGUACAUGUUUGAAUAAUAUUAAACUACUACCCCAGAAAUGCAUCCAGAGUAAAAUCUUCGUUGGUUUUUUUUCUUUCUUUCUUUAAGACAAAAGCAACCAGAGCGUCUGAACCAACUAGUAUUCCUCCAAGGCUGAAGACGAUGUGAUUGCAAAAGGUCAUUGGAGCUUGAGCCUAGUCCAGGAAGAAUGACCAGAGCAGAAAACCGGGAUGUUCUAGAAGUUACUCUUUAUGGCCUGAUACUGGGACGACCACCAACAAUUCAUUACUUGCUAAGCUUUCCCAAACACAUGUCGGGGGUCACUCAGUGCUGUUGUUUUUUGCAAGUGAUAAAAACAAAAAU